Molecule: long non-coding RNA, 1023 nt
Filed under: Betta splendens (Siamese fighting fish)
Lineage: Eukaryota; Metazoa; Chordata; Actinopteri; Anabantiformes; Osphronemidae
Description: lncRNA (ENSBSLG00000001968.1)
Source: RNAcentral
AUGAUCAUGUACUUGAAUGCUAACUUAAAUGGACGCGCCUGGUGGAGGAACCAGAGCAUGAUUUAUAGUGUGGCUCCUCUCCCCCGAAACGACUGUGAACAUGUAGGAUGGUUCGCUGUGGCGACCCCUGGUGGGAAAAGCCGAAAGAAGAAGACUGUGAACGUGAUGAAAAUCAACACCACCUGUCAUUUGGUUGGUUUGGUCCUCAGUGAUCACUGUGGUUCUGGUCAAGUUUCACGUUAUUUUUACCAGAUAAACACCUGUUAUUGUCUAUCAACAUCCGAUUGACAACCUGAACAUUGACAUAAUCAGAUGUCUGGUGAUGUGAGUGUCACAGUCAUGUAAGGAAUAAGUAUGUGCAGCCUGCUGAACAUCUGGUGUCCCUCAUUAGCAUUGUUGUUGCCCGCUGGGCAGCUGGUCACUGAGCACUUUGCCUCCUGCAACAGCUGCUCACACUGAAAACACACUGACCUUCUCUCUCAUAGCAGGCUGCAUGUUAAUGCUUAUGGUGCUGAUCAGGAUUGGCUUUCCCUCAGGUUGACUUGGGAGUUUAAUGUCAGUACUAUAGGUCCGGGUUUGACAGUGGGUUGAGUGUUUGUCUGUGUCUAUACUAUGUGGCCCUGGGAUGGACUCUCUCACCUGAUUGUCAGCUCAGAUUAGACCCAGAAUACACCUCACCCAGGACUUGUGAGCUGCUAUGAUGAUGCAAGCAAAUUUAUCUCAGUAUGUGAGAUAGGUCACAACUAGUCCCAUUGAAUUUUUAAGUUCAAAGCCAAUUCUCGUCAAGUGAAGCAACACUGUAUCCUAGCCCCUCUAGCUUUAGGGCCAUAGCUUCUAGUCUUCAGGAUCCUUAUAGUGUUUUAUAAUGUUCCACAUGCCUCAUUGUCACCAAACUUUGUUCACUUCUACUUGUUUUUAGUUGACUUCGUCUGUAGUUCAUUGAUGGCGAUGGUUGGUUUAAUAAUUAACACAAAGUUAUGGCAUCAAACAAAUAUAUAAAAUAAAUAAAGUGGAUUAAGACCA